CGAACGGCCCUUUUCAGGGCCAACAAAUACCUCUAACGUUGACU
Harpegnathos saltator (Jerdon's jumping ant) is the source of this 44-nucleotide non-coding RNA. NCBI's taxonomy places the organism in Eukaryota, Metazoa, Arthropoda, Insecta, Hymenoptera, Formicidae. The record is from Rfam.